GUGCUUGCUUCAGCAGCACAUACAUUAAAAUUGGAACAAUACUGAGAUUAGCAUGGCUCCUGCACAAAGAUGACAGCAAAUAUAUAUAUAUAUAUAUUUUUUUU
Small nuclear RNA from Myotis lucifugus (little brown bat), 104 nucleotides. NCBI's taxonomy places the organism in Eukaryota, Metazoa, Chordata, Mammalia, Chiroptera, Vespertilionidae. The record is from Ensembl.